Molecule: ribosomal RNA, 253 nt
Filed under: uncultured bacterium
Lineage: Bacteria
Description: partial 16S ribosomal RNA
Rfam family: Bacterial small subunit ribosomal RNA
Source: RNAcentral
UACGUAGGCAGCGAGCGUUGUUCGGAGUUACUGGGCGUAAAGGGUGUGUAGGCGGUUCUCUAAGUUUGGUGUGAAAUCUCCCGGCUCAACCGGGAGGGUGCGCCGAAAACUGGGGGACUCGAGUGCGGGAUGGGAGAGUAGAAUUCCUGGUGUAGCGGUGAAAUGCGUAGAUAUCAGGAGGAAUACCGGUGGUGUAGACGGCUCUCUGGACCGCCACUGACGCUGGGACACGAAAGCGUGGGUAGCAAACAGG